AUGAGCUUCGCGGAUCUGGAGUCCGGGGCGCUGCAGGCGCCCCGGAGGGGGAGGGGCGCCGACGCCACGCGCGCGCUCGUCUUCCAGAUCACCACCGCGGUGUCCUCCUACCGCCGCCUCCUCAACUCGCUCGGCACGCCCAAGGACACGCCCGCCCUCCGUGAUCAGCUGCAGAAGACUAGUCAUAAAGUCCUGCAAUUGGCGAAGGAUGCGAAGGAGAAGCUGACGAGUGCUGCUGAAGCAGACAAGAGCACUGGAACUAGUGCAGACAAGCGGGUAGCUGACAUGAAGCUUGCCAAAGAUUUUGCUGCGACGAUGGAGGAAUUCAGGAAACUUCAGAAUCUUGCAAUUCAGAGGGAGAUGGCAUAUAAGCCGGUUGUUCCCCAGGGUGCUCAGCCAAGCUAUACUAUGAAUGAUGGAAGAUCUGAUUUUGAUAAAAUGCCUGAACAGCGCGCAUUGCUUGCAGAACCAAACAGGUUAGAGGUGUUGCAAUUGGAUAAUGAAAUUGUUUUCAAUGAGGCUAUCAUCGAGGAAAGGGACCAGGCGAUUCAAGACAUCCAACAGCAGAUUGGUGAAGUACAUGAAGCAUUUAAGGAUCUUGCUACGCUCGUGCAUGCGCAAGGAGGCGUAAUAGAGGAAGUCGACAGCAACAUUGAAAACUCUGCAGCCGCGACCAGUGAAGCGAAGAAAGAACUCGGCAAAGCGUCCAAGACUCAGAAGUCAAAUUCAUCCUUGUUUUGGCAUCUUGAGACACGAAUGCUUAGAAGCCUAUUGGUGCACCCUGAGGAGCCAUAUUACGUGCAAGAUUAA
This 810-nucleotide ribosomal RNA is filed under the name Triticum aestivum (bread wheat). RNAcentral describes it as "partial small subunit ribosomal RNA". The record is from RNAcentral. Lineage: Eukaryota; Viridiplantae; Streptophyta; Magnoliopsida; Poales; Poaceae.